Molecule: long non-coding RNA, 2487 nt
Filed under: Canis lupus familiaris (dog)
Lineage: Eukaryota; Metazoa; Chordata; Mammalia; Carnivora; Canidae
Description: lncRNA (ENSCAFG00000051447.1)
Source: RNAcentral
AGACUCCCGCGAGCCCGAGGGACCCCGGCGCUGGCUUCAGCGAGCAGAGUGACGGGCGCGGGGGAGCGGGCGGCCGGUCCCCCUCGCCUCCGGGCAGCGCUGCGUUUCUAGGGCCCCCCGUCGCACUCUUCCCCCCUCGAGGGCUCCGGGGAGGCCCUGCCGCCGCCGUCCCGCCCUCGUCCCCGAUCGCGCACACUUAAGGGCCGCGAGGCGCCUGCUGCCCCGUCAGCCUUGCGGCCUCCGCCCCGCGGCUCAGCAGUCGGCUCCGCAGGCCCGGCGGACGUGGCCGCCCCACACCCCACACGGCUCACCUGGUUGCCGCAGGCCAGGGCCCGCUCGGGGGGCUUUGCGAGCUGGUGGUCCUGAGGGCGUGCAGCAGAGCUGGAGGAGAAGAGACAGAGACAGAGAGAGAGAGAGGCAGAGGCACAGGCAGAGGGAGAAGCAGGCACCAUACAGAGAGCCCAACGUGGGACUCGAUCCAGGGCCCCCAGGAUCACGCCCCGGGCCUAAACCGCUGCACCACCGGAGCUGCCCAAGAUAAUGGAGGAAAGUGACCUCUUGGUGAAAAGACACUGCCAUGUACACUCUGCUUGGAGGCCUGAAGGAAAAGAUGAGGCACCAUGAUGGAGCCAGCUCCAGCAGGUACCUGGCACACAUCUUCAGGCAUGCAGCCAACCAGCUGUUUAAUGAGGAUAUGAGGGAAGUCACCUGCCACAUCCCGAGGAACAAAGACUUGCAGGAGGUUAACUUUGAAAAGAAUGGGUAGGUUCUGUUAUGCUUUGCUGCUGUGUACUGCUUUCAAAACAUCCAGGAUGGUUCUGAAACUGAAGAAGGGCAAUUUGUCAUACCACUUGGUAGCAGUGCUUGCCUGGACCAGAGGAUGUUUAAAUGACGGAGGCCAAGCCCAGACCAAGGAUGGGCAUGCAGACAAGGUGCUGCCAUGGCAGAUGGAAGGCAUACACACUGAUAUCCCCAUGCAGCCCCCUAGACCAGUGCCCACAUACAGGAGCUAUACCAGGAGUGGAUAAACAAAACCAACUGCCCCAGACUCCAAGAAGUUGUGCACAAUGUACCAGGGCCCAGCGCUUCCUGCCAUCAGCUGAGACAUCAAGUGGUAAAGGUCAAGAAGGCUGGGAGGCAGGUCCUAUUAGCUGCCCGAAGAGAGAAGAGCAGCUGAGUGUGAGCAUCACAGACAGUGGAGGAAAACCGCUCAGCUUCUCAGUUAUUACUUUGGUUUUUCAGAAUUCUCCAUACCCUAUUUGUUCAUGGCUCCCUCAUUCAGUUUGAUAUGGUGCUAUCUUUGUAAUAAUACGUGACUGGAAUAAUUUAACAUAAGAGAAGCACUGCCCCAUGUUAAGUAUCCUUUUAGCUUAAGACUGAAAAACAUCCCGAAGAACAAAAAUGAAAACAGAUUACUAUCUUUUAGGCCUAAAAAAAAUCCAAAAAAUGUCCUGUGAAGAGCUAAGACCCCAGAAGUCCAGAUUCAUGUGCCUCAGAAAGAUUUGAUGUGGAAAUUAAGACAAGAUGCAACCAGGUUGCAGGUUUAGUGGUGCUACAGUCCACAGUCUGCCUGAUUAGGCUCUUAUUUUUAAUCAAUUAUGUUAUUGAAAAUAUUUUUGCUAGAAUAUGAAUAAAUUGCAACAUUUUGGAAUCAGGGGCUCAUAUACAAAUCUGGAUUUCCAGCUUUUCUGGCAACAGUGGGUCACGUUCUUCAGUGCUGUGGUUGCCAGAGUGCAGUAGUAGCCUCCUCCUAGGACCAGACCUCCAACUGUGUGACCCUGUGUGUGCUGGUGGCUUAAACCCCAAACUCACACUUUUACAAUUCAGCCUUUAAGCUGAACUCACCUUGAGGGCAGGGGAGGUCUGGCAAGAAUGGCAAGUGUUACAGACAGAAAGGAGGAUGGAGAUGGGCUGCCCCACUUAGGCCAGGCUGUGUGUUCAGGAGGCAACUACCUUAAUCCCUCCGCAGUGGGUUAAUAGCAGAAGACCCUCCUGAUCCUGCUGUGGUCCUGCCUCCCUGGGACCUGUGCUUCUUGAGGGACUCUCAUUCUGCAGCCUGCACUGUUCCUGUGAGCACAUCUUAAGAAGUAAGAGAGAAAGUGGUUUAUCCACAAACAAAGAGAAAGCAACCAGAAAUCUACAGAAUCAUGGCACUCUACAUCAGAACUCGUUUUUGAAAUGAAAGACAGCUGAGAAUGGCCUGGAGUUUAUUUUUCAAAGCACUUGGGUUUUGUUAACAUGAGUGAUGAUGUUCUUAAGCUCUCCAUGCUCUAAACCCUUAGCAGGCUCAGUUUCCUUCAUCGUAUUCUGUAUCAUAUUGUACCCGUAUACUUACCGAGUUGAUAGCUAGAUAUUGUGUGAAAUUGUAUAUUUUUAGGGCACUUGGCUGGCUCAGCUGGAUGAGCAUGAGACUCUUCAUCUUGGGGUCAUGAGUUCAAGCCCCACAUUGAGUGUAGAGACUACUUAAAUAAAAACUGUUUUAAAAAA